UAGAAGAUAGCAUAAAUGGAGUGCUGAAGAUUUUGAGUCUUUGUGUACGGGUUCAAGUCCUGUUUUUCU
This 69-nucleotide transfer RNA is filed under the name Phrynosoma orbiculare (mountain horned lizard). RNAcentral describes it as "tRNA-Gln". It matches the Rfam family "tRNA". From Rfam's summary of the family: Transfer RNA (tRNA) molecules are approximately 80 nucleotides in length. Their secondary structure includes four short double-helical elements and three loops (D, anti-codon, and T loops). The record is from RNAcentral. Lineage: Eukaryota; Metazoa; Chordata; Lepidosauria; Squamata; Phrynosomatidae.